UCAGCCGGCUGGACGGUCGCUGUUGGAUUCGCGGGCGGCAACGCCGGCGGCUUCGAUGGAGGAAAGUCCGGGCUCCAUGGAGACACGGUGGCGGCUAACGGCCGCCGGGGGCGACCCCAGGGAAAGUGCCACAGAAAGCAAACCGCCCGGAGAGGCUUCGGCCCGUGCCGGGUAAGGGUGAAAGGGUGCGGUAAGAGCGCACCGCGCCGACGGUGACGUCGGUGGCAGGGUAAACCCCACCGGGAGCAAGACCAAAUAGGGGUGGCCAGGCGCGCGGCAACGCGGCGCCAGAUCCGUCUUCAGAUCCGCUACCCGGGUUGGUUGCUAGAGGCGUUCAGCAAUGGACGUCCCAGACGAAUGGCCGUCGCGGAGGAUUUGGCCAGCAUUCGGCAUGCCGAUGUUGGGCUCGCCUCCAGACAGAACCCGGCUUACAGGCCGGCUGACAAA
Hyphomicrobium sulfonivorans is the source of this 447-nucleotide non-coding RNA. It matches the Rfam family "Bacterial RNase P class A". Rfam says of the family: Ribonuclease P (RNase P) is a ubiquitous endoribonuclease, found in archaea, bacteria and eukarya as well as chloroplasts and mitochondria. Its best characterised activity is the generation of mature 5'-ends of tRNAs by cleaving the 5'-leader elements of precursor-tRNAs. Lineage: Bacteria; Pseudomonadati; Pseudomonadota; Alphaproteobacteria; Hyphomicrobiales; Hyphomicrobiaceae. The record is from Rfam.